UUUGCUGACGACCGGCGCACGGGUGCGUAACGCGUAUGCAACCUACCUCAUACUGGAGGAUAGCCCCUGGAAACGGGGAUUAAUACUCAAUAGUAUCACAAUUUCGCAUGUUAUUGUGAUUAAAGUUUUUCGGUAUGAGAUGGGCAUGCGUCCCAUUAGCUUGUUGGUGAGGUAACGGCUCACCAAGGCAACGAUGGGUAGGGGGCCUGAGAGGGUGGUCCCCCACACUGGUACUGAGACACGGACCAGACUCCUACGGGAGGCAGCAGUGAGGAAUAUUGGUCAAUGGAGGAAACUCUGAACCAGCCAUGCCGCGUGAAGGAUGACGGCCCUAUGGGUUGUAAACUUCUUUUAUAGAGGAAGAAACUUGUCUAUGUGUAGACAACUGACGGUACUCUACGAAUAAGGAUCGGCUAACUCCGUGCCAGCAGCCGCGGUAAUACGGAGGAUCCAAGCGUUAUCCGGAUUCAUUGGGUUUAAAGGGUCCGUAGGCGGAUUUUUAAGUCAGUGGUGAAAGCCGACAGCUCAACUGUCGAACUGCCAUUGAUACUGGAAAUCUUGAGUACAAAUGAAGUAGGCGGAAUGAGUCAUGUAGCGGUGAAAUGCAUAGAUAUGACUCAGAACACCGAUUGCGAAGGCAGCUUACUAACAUGUAACUGACGCUGAGGGACGAAAGCGUGGGGAGCGAACAGGAUUAGAUACCCUGGUAGUCCACGCCGUAAACGAUCAUCACUCGCUGUUGGCGAUAUACUGUCAGCGGCCAAGCGAAAGUAUUAAGUG
This 780-nucleotide ribosomal RNA is filed under the name uncultured Bacteroidota bacterium. RNAcentral describes it as "bacterial SSU rRNA". It matches the Rfam family "Bacterial small subunit ribosomal RNA", at positions 84 to 866 of the family's 1533-position model. Lineage: Bacteria; Pseudomonadati; Bacteroidota. The record is from RNAcentral.